This 623-nucleotide long non-coding RNA is filed under the name Homo sapiens (human). Its description in RNAcentral is "HSALNT0174882". Lineage: Eukaryota; Metazoa; Chordata; Mammalia; Primates; Hominidae. The record is from RNAcentral.
UGAACUAACAGAGAACUGUAUUCCAACUAUUGGUAACUUCAUUCAGAUAAUUUCACCCUCUGUAAGAAAUAACACUGAACACUUAUUGAGCACUUACCUUAUAAGCAUAGUAGUUCAUGUAAUCCUCGCCACAAACUGAGAAGUCAAUCUAUGUGGGUUCCUUCCAUUUCACAGAUAAGGGGAAAUUGGAGCUCAGAGAUUUAAGCCACCUGCCAGAGGUCACAUGGCCCAUAAAAGGUCUGUCCCAUUCCACCAAGGAUUUAAGGCUAAAGAUUUAAGUUGUGAAGAUGAUAAUGGAUUGACUCUAUGAAUGGCCACAUUUUUUUAUGCCUCCCUUUUCCCUUGUCCUCGGGCAGUGUCCUCCGACACUGACUCUGUGCUUGGCCCUGUGACUUGCUUUGGCCAAUGGUACAGCAGCAAACUUGAUGCAAACACAACUUGAAAAAGAAGAGGACAGCCAAGUCAUCCCAGCCAAGGCCACCCUGGACCAGCCAGCCUCUUGCCAAGCUGCCAGUGACCACAGAGUCCAAUUAACAACAGCCAGUCCUGGCCCAGGUCAGCACACCCAUGAGAAAGAACUUGCUAUCAUUUAAAGCCAUGGGUUUGGGGGUGGUUUGUUGCAC